This 11642-nucleotide long non-coding RNA is filed under the name Gossypium raimondii (Peruvian cotton). Its description in RNAcentral is "long non-coding RNA (GRAI_LNC001677)". The record is from RNAcentral. Lineage: Eukaryota; Viridiplantae; Streptophyta; Magnoliopsida; Malvales; Malvaceae.
UUUGGAAAUAUAUAAACGAACAAAAGUAUUUUCUUUUUGGGUGCAAAGUAUCACAUGGAAUUCAAAUUAUUAUUUUUAAUAAACGUACAAAUGAAGUGAUGAACCAAAAAAAAAAGGGAAGAAGAAAGCAAGUACAAUGGAUUGAACCCCGAGUAAUAUUUUACAUUUAUUCAUUCACCAUUUUUGAUUCUUCAAUACUUCACGGUUUCGUAGAUUUUUGCUGGCUUACUGCAAAUAGUGGGAAAAGAAAGAAACAAGGGUGGCUCCAACCAAGGACACAAGAACAGGCAUUGUUGAGGUUGCGACGUUGGAGUCUGGGCCUGGGGCAGCUGCUGAAGCUGAAGCUGAAGCUGCACCUGGAGCUGAAGCUGGAGCUGGAGCUGGAGCGGAGUCAGCAGCCAGGACCGCGCUCAUAGAGGCGGCGGCGACAAUGACGGCGCAGGAGAUCUUCUUCAUGUCCAUGGUAUUGAAGAAUAGGCUUAGUGAGAGUCGAGAGACCUGCUGCGAGAUGGAAAACAAAAUUUAUUAAUUUGGUUUUCUUUAUAUGUUUAUAUGUUAUUGUUCUUCACGCAGGUCUGAAGAACAAGGAUGAAGGUGAGGUGCAUUUUAUAGGGGAAAUUCAUGUCUAUUUUAAGCAACAAAUGGUUUCUCAUUAGCUUAAAAAUAGGCUUAUGUGGGGUUUUGCAUGUUUUGAGGAUUGAAAUUGACAUGCAUCAUCUUUAAAAAGUUAAAAUUUUAAUUUUCCAUUAAAACCCUUCAAAUAGGAAUUUACUUAAUUACCAUUGUUUUUAUAAAUAUAUUAAAAAAUAUAUAUGAUAAGUUAUGUCUUCUUUAUUUUUUGUUGCAAAAGGUAACUAUUGGUUCCACUAGACCUGUUUGAAUGGUGUGAGAGUUUGGGUAAAAGUAUAAAUUCAAAAAAUAGAUUUAGAUAAAAAAAAUAAGGCUUGUUUAGAAAAUAAGUUGGACCUCGGGUAAAUUUUUUUAGCUCAAGCCCAGCUCGACCCGACUCAUGGAUACCUCUAAUUUCCACUUGUGCUUAUUGAAUAUAUUGAAUUGAAGUGGUAUGAUGAUAUAAUGAAUCGUUACAUUGAAUGGAUAAAUAAUGGAAACUAUGAAGCAUGAUGUUAUAUUGACACUUAAAGAAAUGGUUUGAUUGAUAUUUAAGCCUCCGUUUGUUUCACUGAAAAUGAUUUCUGGAAAAUGAUUUGUUUUUCUGGAAAAGCUAAUAUUUUCUGGUGUUUGGUGUUUGGAUGAAUCUGUGUAAAAUAUUUUCUUUUGUUUGACAGAUUUCUUAAAAAUAUUUUAUAAAAUUUGUUUUCAAUGAAAUAAACAUAGAUUCAAGAUUUUCUUAUCUUUUAAUCGUUUAAUUGAGUUUAUUUUAUAUAUAUAAUUUUAUAUUUUACAUUGUUUUUGCAUAUAUUAAAAAUAUUUUGUUAAAUUCUUGUUCAUUACAACGUUAUUUUUUAGUUGCAUGAUUACCAAGUGAGCUUUUUUUAUUUAAAAAUGUGAUAUCAACAAAAUUGACGAAAAUUUAACAAUGUCAACAAUUAGACUUGAUUUUCAAAUAUGAAAAGAACAGAGACUAAAUUCUUGAAAAUAAAAGUACAGAGACAAAAUUACAAAUUUGUGAAGAGUACAUAGAGACUUAUGACAUAUUUUAACCUUUAUACUACAAAAUAAUUAUUAUUAAUAUAUUUGUAAUUGUAAUAAAUAUUUAUUAUUAUUAUUGGUUAAUAAUAAAUAUUUAUUAUUAAAAUAUUAAUAUUGAAUAUUUUUAAUAAUAUGUGAUGUAUAUUAUCUAAAAUUAUUAUUUUUAAAAUUUAUUAUUAAAUAAAAUCGAAAUAUUUAUUAAAAUAAUAAAUUAUAUUAAUUAUAUUAAUAAUUUAUUAUAUGACUAAAUAUAAAUAAUUAAAUAGGUAUGUUUAAUAAUAUUGAAAAGUAUAAUAUUUUAUAUUAAUAUUUUAAAUAUUUUUAAAAAUAAAAAUAAAAAUUCUUAUUAAUAUAAUAAUAUUAAGCUUGAUUUAAGUUAUUUUUUAUAUAAAAAAAUUAUCUAUAGAUGAGCUCUUUUUCGAAAAAUGACUUGCGCUUUUCAAAAGGGUAAGUCAUUUUACAAGAAAAAUGACUUAUUUUCCGUUGACCUGUAAGUCAUUUUCCGUUGACCUGUAAGUCAUUUUCUGUUGACCAAACUAUUUUUUGUGAAUCAAACACAAAAAAAUGCAGAAAACAUUUUCCGUAAAACCUUUUACAUGUAAAUAAAUGGACCCUAAGUUAAAUUUGUAUUAUGUGCAAUUUGAUUGGACUCAAGUAUGAUAUUUGAAUUAUGAAAUUGAAUAUUGUGCCAUGUACACAUAUGUGUAACCAAUUUUUGAAAAUUCUCUAGUAAACCACUAUGAAUAAAUUUGGAUAUAAUUGGUAUGCUAACAAAACUUUAGUAGCAUUGUGUAUUAUAGUCUACUGAUAAAGCAAGAAUUGAUGUUUACAUAUUUGCUUUAUUGCACUAAGUGCAUAAUUGGUGUGAUGGAGGACAUAUGAUUCAUGUUAUAUAUGUUAAUUGGUGUGAUGGAGGAUUAUGUUUAAGCUCAUGAGCCAUCGGUGUGAUGGAUGAAUUAUUUUGAAUAUCUAGAUUAACCCUUCUCUUACAUAUAAUGGUAAACAUGAUAAAUGUUAUACUUCCUAUCCAGAAGGGAAAUGUGGCACCAUGAGAAGACAUAUGUGGACAAUCCUCUGCUUAUUUCCCGACCUAUACAAUACUUGGUAUAUUCUCCACCUAAGUGCUUAAACAAUUCUCUACUGCUCAACUGGUCACUAGAUGAUCAAUCACUCAGGCAUCUCAUCCUCCAGGUCACCCUCUUUUAGUUGGUGCAUGCUCACCUCCAAAGAGGGGACCUCUAAGGGGCCAUUAGACAUAACAACCUCAUACAGUCAAGGGAAUAUCAAAACAGUACCAUGCAUGAGGAAAACCCAAGCACAAUAGCCUUGCCACCUGAUGAUCAUCAUGUCCUAUAUUUGUCGGUGACGUGAACUCAUUGGGCAUGAGACCUCUUCCCUAUAAAUACCCUGUAGAACAAUGAAAGAUCGAUCCUUUAGCCUUUCAACAACCUUAAGCACUCCUCAGCACUCAACCUCCUUUGCUACCUCCCCCUCACUUAUUUUCUUUGUAAUACCCCGUAAAUUUUUACAAUAAAAUAUUAUCUUUGAUAUAGUAAGGAAAUAAAGUGGCAAAAAGAAGAAUUUUGAGUUAUGACAAUAUUGAGAAGUAUAUUAUGAAAUAUUAAUUCAAGAAAGGAUUAAAUUGCAAAAGUGAGAAAAGUUUUGUUACCCAAGAGUAAAUACUCAAAAUUUGAGGGGUUAAAGUGUAAAUAUGAAAAAUUUGAAGGACCAAUAGUGUAAAUAUUUUAAGGGUGGAAUAAUCUAGAAACUAAGGAAAAUGGAUGAAUUAGGACCAAAUUGAAAAGCUAGAGAAUUUUGAGGGACUAAAUCGUAAUUUUACCAAAUUAAGUGAUGACUCAAGGAUGAAAUUUUAAAUAUUAUAAAGGGAAAAAUGGUCAAUUAGAAGAGAGAUAAAUCUAGAAGAUAAUGAUGAUGUUGGAGAUAUUUUAUAUUAAAUAAAUAAAUAUUAGUUUAUUAAUAUUUUAAUUUAAUUUUUAAAUGAUGUUUUAUUAUUUUAUUAAUAUUUUAUUUAGUAUAUAUAAGAAAAGGAAGAUUAAGAAUCAUCAAUUCCACCAUAUUUCCAUGCAACUAACGUGAGAAGAGUGGAGAAGAAAGAAAGUUUUGCUUUCUUUACAAUUUGGUCAUUCCACCAAAAAUUUACCAUUUUCACCUAGAAAUCAAAAGAAUUUCCAUAGCUUCCAAGAGAGAGGAAUAAAAAGGAGACAAUGAGGAGCUAGAAUAUCAAGUUAGAUUCAAGAAAUAGAAGUUGGAGGAGAGAGAAAAUCAAGUUAAAGAUUGAAAUCAAUAGCACAAGGUAAGAACAUCAAGAUUUCAAUAUAUUUUUAAGUUUGAUAUUAUUGAAAAAGCAUGGAAAUAAUGCUAUAGUAGAGUUUUCUUAUAUAAGGUAUUAUGUUCUUGAUAUAUUAGUGAAGAGAAAUACGUGAAAGUGAUGAGAAAUAUUAUAGAGAAAGGGAAUAAGGGAGUUAUACACCUAGUAAUCAACAUUUUGCACUAAAACAGUUUUGGACAGCAGCAGUAGGUUAACUUUGGAAAAUCACCAUAAAUUUUGGAAAUCGAAUUAGAGUAUGAAUGAAUAUGGAAAUAAAUCUUAUUAAGUCUAGUUUAUCAUAGAAGAAACAGUGUAAGUAAUGGAAUUGUAAAUCAUGAGAUAUAAUAAAUUUUGUGAGACAAGGUCAAAAUGAAUUUGGGUUCCCUUGUUUUGACUUGGACAAAUCAUUAAAAAUUGUAAAAAAAUAAUUAUGGGUUAUAAUUUAUAUGUUUAAAAUCCUUAUGAGUAUAUUUUCAAUAGAAAUAAACGGGAACAUCAUCCGAAUUCUGUACAAAGAGAUAAUUAUUUUUUAGUGAAGAGGGGUCGGAACUGUCAAACAGUGAAACAAUAGAAAAUUUAAAGAAUAAAAUGCACUUAUUUGAUAAACAAAAAAUUAUGAAAAUUUUAUGGUAAGAAUAUAUGUGAGUCUAGUUUCAGAAAAUUUUUAGAUCUCAAUUCAGAGUUCUGUAGCUUAAGAUAUAAUUAAUUUAGUGACUAUGACUCAAGUGAACAGCUUGUUAUGAGUAAACAAUAUAAUAGUGGUAUUAUGUAUAUAUCAAGGAUGUGGAAUGGAGUGGAGGAGGAGGAAAAAUAUAUGUGAAUAUUCAGAUAAUAUGAGUUUAUUUUAAAAUAGCUAAUUUACAUGUUUUAGGUUCAGGGACUAAAUUGAAUAAAAGUAAAAUUUUAAGGGUAAUUUUGUAAAAAUGUCAAAAAUGACCAAAUCGCAUGAAAUGAAUUGUUUUAUCAUUUAAAUUAAUAAAUUGAAUGAAAUAUUAAUUUAGAUCAAGAUUUGAGUGGAAAUUCGAGAAAAAUGAAAAAUUACCAAAAUGUCCCUGAAUUUUGAUAUUUCUUCAGUUUAGCCCGAUAGGUUCGUGUAACUUGAAUUAUAUUUUUAAAUGCUUGAAAUGUUUGUUAUUGAUGUGAAUAUGAUUUGAAUGUUCAUUGUAUGAAAAUUGAUGAAACAUUGAUAUAUUUGAUAAAAAGGGGAAGAAAUCCCGGUUGAAUGGAAGGAAAAUUCGAUGGAUCUCUGAAAAGGAAUUGACGGUAAAAAGGAUCUUGCCCGGAAGAGUGAUCCUAUCCUGAUAUGGCCCUCCGGAAGAAUAUGUGUGAGAAAGAUCUAGCCCGGACGGGUGAUCUUGAUAUAGCCCUCCCGAAGAAUAUGUGGAAAAUGGAUUUAGCCCGGACAGGUAAUCCGAAUUAGGGUCUGAAUUUAGCCUGGACUGGUAAUUCAGAUCCAAGCUCAUUAGAGUAAUUGUUGUUGCAGGGGAUUUAGCCUGGACUAGUAAUCUCGACAAUACUCUAUAAGUUUAUAUUACAGGGGAUUUAGCCUGGACUGGUAAUCCCGCUGUAAGAAAUGAGGUUUGUGGCAGUGUGCUCUCUUGCAGGGGAUUUAGCCUGGACUGGUAAUCCCGCUGUAAGAAAUGAGGUUCGCGGGAGUGUGCUUUCUGAAUUGAAAAAUGUGCGUACAUGAAUAUGAAUUGACGGACCCGAAUUUGUACACUAAAGUGUACCCUUGAAAAUCCAUCGAAAUUCCGAGAAAUUCAACGGGAUAAAAAUAGAAAAUGAUAAGUACAUAAAAUCAUGAAAUUAAACUUGAAAUACAUAGAAAUGAUAAUUAUUUGAUAUACUAAAAUAUGACAUGGAAAAUACAUGUAUGUGAAACUUGCCUGAUAAUUAUGCAUAUUCAAGAUUAUGAAGUGCUACUGGAAUAAAUACACAUUGAAUUUAUAAAAAAAAUUAUAGUACAUGAAAUAUUGUCAUAAUGAAUUGAAUAAUUUAUAGUUAAGAAGAAACAACAAGAAAAUGAUAUGUAUCAUAACAUGUAAAUAUGAGACUAUCUUUGAUACAUUGAUUCAAGGAAAAUUAUGUGUAUUAAGAUGAGUAAUAAAUUUAAGUGAGACAUGGCGAGAAAAUAAGUUUGUCAAUAUUAAAGUACGCUAACCAAUGUUGUUGCUUGAAGUUUAGGCAAGUGCCAAAUUACUGUUGAAUGGUAAUAUGUUUAAUUAUAAGGUGCAUUGGAAUGGUAAGUGCUUAGAUGAAAAUAUAAUUGAGCUUAUGAAAGAGUGGAAAGGUUUCAGUUAUGCAAUUUCUUAUGAAAAGAUUUUUUAUGUGAUACACCCGUAUGAACCCUGCACCUAAUUCAGAAAUAAUUUUUUUUAAAAAUCUAUAUAUAUAUUUAGGAUUCUGCGAAAAAAUUCCUAUGAUUCCGAUUUAAUCCCAGUAGGUUCCUAAUAAAUGUUUUGGGCUUCGAGAACCCAAUAGAGGGACGUUAUGAUUAUUUUCAGAAUAUGAACAAUAAAUGAUUCAGAAUUAUUGAAAAUGUUCAGUAAACUCCGGUAAUGCCUCGUGCCCUAUUCCGACAACGGAUACGGGUAGGGGGUGUUACAUUCUUUAUUCGGCUCUUCGCCUAUUUAGGUGAACUAGUUUUCCUUGCACCACCACAUUCUCCUCCUUACCUCCUCCCUUAUUGACACUAUCAGCAAUAACAUAUGUCCUAUAUUUACUUGAUUGCAUAACAGGGAAAUUUAGAGUUUUCUUGAGCACCAUUAACCCUAUAUGCAUGCUUAACGUGUGGAAUUCAAUUUUUUUGCGCAUGUUUCAAUUGAUACGAGACAAGAACCUUCGAGUUGCAUCAGAGAUUAAGCCACUAUUUUUGUGUAAUUGUUUAAGAUUAUGACUUGAUUAUAUUUUGGAUGUGUGUAUUGUAGAAACACUAUUAUGACAUAUACUUAAGUUAGCAAGUGUUAAGAACCUUUUUUGGUUGUGUUAUGACUUAGAAGUAUUGUAUAUCAUGGCUAAGUGGUAAUUUAGGUAUAUUUAAGCUUAUGACAUUGCUCUUAAAAUGAAUGUGUAACGACCCCAAAUUCUCAAGUUAAUGUUCGAAUGUUGACCUGGGUUGGCGAUGGAUAAAUUUAUUUUGGGAUUGAGUUUUUUUUUUGGAAUUAAUUUGGGUGAAUUUUGGAUAUUUUUAUAAGAAAUUAAGGAUGUUGGGAAGCUUGUGUGAAGUAGGGGGAAGAUGGAUGGCUAAUAUGGUGAUUUUACCAUUUUUGAAUAAAAGUCUUCUCCUAAUUAGUGGUAAAAGAUGGUUUGGUAGAUUGGUAUGAGAUAAAGUGGAUUUGCCCCUAUUUUCCCCUAUAUUAUAAUCACCCUAUUGUUUUUUUUUCUUUUUUCAUUUCUUCAUUUUUUUCUUCUUUUCUCUAUCUAUUUUUCCUUAGCAAGUCAUGUAGAGGGAGAGAGAUUUGAGUGAGUUCUCACCGUUUUUUUUUCAUCCUCCAAAUCUCAAAGAAGGUAAGGGUCUUGAUCUAUUUUUUAAAAAAAGUUUCAUGGAAGAAAAAAAAAUAUCUAUGUUCAUCAAGGAUGAAGGUGGAGGUUUUUGGGUGUGUGGAAGGGUUUGAGUUUGAGGAAGUCUCUAUCCAUCUUCUCAUAUUUUAUUUAGAUAUUUAUUUAAAGUAUGUAGUUUUACAUUCUACCAACUCUUUUUUUUUUUAUGGGAAAUCUUGUGUGUUACAUGGUUAUUAGUUAAAGAGGGUGGUGAAUCUUCUAAAGCAAAGGGUAAAGGCAAAGUGGUGGAGAGCUAAGCAAGAAACUUUGUUGGUGUUCUUCCAUCAAGGUGGUACCCUCUAACUCUCCUAUACUUCUUGAUAAGUCAUAAAUAUGAUGCUUGUGUGAUAAUGCAUGCAUGUUAUAUGUCUUUGGGUGGAAAUCUUGUUUGAAUGAUUUAAAAUGAAGCUAAAAGCUUAAUUGUGAAAUCUGCUAGAAACAAAUUAUUACAUGAAUAGUAAAUUUGAAAAUUCACCAUAAAUUCUGUAAAAAUGAUUAAGAAGUGAUCUAUACAUCGUUGUAACCUUAGUCAAUCUAGUUUUUUUUAGAACAAACAAAGAUCAAUUUUGAUUUGUAUUUUAAAAGAUAUGAAUUUUUGAGUGUUGAAAGGUUAUAAAAAUCUAGCAGCAGGAUUCUUAUAAAACAGAUUUAGCAGUGAAUUUGAAAAAUCACCAAAAAUUUCACAAGAUAAAAUAGGAAGUGAGCCUUAUAUCUCUAUAACCGUAUAGAAGUCUAGUUUUGUUUAAAACAAACGGUGCUCGAUUUAGAGUUAUAUAUUAAGAGUUAUUAAUUUUUGAAUGAAAAAAUGUCAGAAUGUCAAGGUAGCAAACUAUCACAUCUCAUUAGUUAAUAUUUUAGCUGGAAUGAUAAUCAAGUUGAAACGAGUAUGAGACUCGAAUGUCAUGGUUGUAUUUUUGUGAUUAUAUGUUUGAUGCUUUUUUUGCGCUCAGCCUUCGAGCUCUAACCUAACUAGCGGCCAUGAGUGGCGCUCGGGAUAACCCUACGGACACCCGAGAUUAUUUAACUAGCGGCCAUGAGUGGCGCGGGACUAUCCGGAUACCCGAUUAUUUGAGUAGUAUGUGAAAUCUAACAAGUUUGACAAGUUUGAUAUGCAAGCGAUUUGGUUAUGUAGAUUUAAUGACUCAGAAUUUAAUUAUUUGAUACUCAAAUCAUGUUUUUAUGUAUACAUUUGAUUUGCAUGCUUAUAUUUAUGAAUUGCUUGAAGUAUGGUAGAUUUGUUGUGUACCACUGAGCCUGUAAAGCUCAGCAUUCGAAUUGUCUUAAUGUUCAGAUUUGUAGACUUUUGUUUGUGUCUGAGGAACAUCAUCGACGAGAGACUCCUAGCAUCACGUAUUCAGAGUACAGUACCUUAUCUAUUAGUGGACAUUGUAUUCUUAAGGCCUUACUUGUAUUUUUUUGUAGGUCUGUAACUCAUUUAUCAUUUUUGUUAUUUUGACUAUUUUGAUGUACGAUGAUAUUGGAGCUACACAUAUUUUGUAUAACUACUUUUAUUACUAUUUUCAGUAUAAUUUGUAUAACUACUUUUAUUACUAUUUUCAGUAUAACUAUGUAUGGUAUUUUCACUUAUAUAAAAUGUAUUUCAAUGUUUUAAAAUUAUUUAAAAAUUUUGCUAGGUUACUCUAGUGACUUAAUGUAGCGCCUUAGUAUUCGAGUACUCCAUAUUCGGGAUUAGGGUGUUACAAAAUGAAUGCAUGUGAAAUUAUGACAAAUGGAGUGCAUUUGGAUAUAAUGCAUGUCAUGUAACCAUUGAUUUGGAGGUGUUACCCUAAUUAAAAGAAAAUAAAGAUGAUUUAGUUUAAUUUUUAAGUUGCUUUACUUUUAGGUACCGAUACUUAAUUUAGGGGUAUUGAUAUCAGAUGAGAUGGUAAUUAACAGAUUUUUUAAAGGGGCAGUGUAUCGAUAUCAUAUCCCUUGGUAUCAUACCAUCUGACUUAAGCUACUAAUUCCAUCCUAUAAUGAUUUAUUUAGUCCUCCAAUUUAAAAAAAAAAAAAAUUUAGGUCUCUAUUUAAAUUUCUGUCUUUUUUAACUUUCAAACUUUUUUUUUUUUAUCAAAUCACUCCAAAAUGAAUGAAAAAGUUAACAAAUGUUUACUUUGUUGUGGAUAUACAUGUAUAAGUCACAUAAAUAAAUAAAUAAUUUUUAAUAUUUUUUUUGAAAGCGUUACAAAAAUUAUAAUAUAUUUUUUUAUUUUUACAAAACUUUUAAAUAAUUUUUAAUAACUUUCUAUAUUUUUUUAAAUUUUUUUAUAAAAUAAUUAACUGGUGAUGUAGAAUCCACAUGAUGGUCCACAGAACCAAGUCAAGAUGAUACGAAUCAACCCUUUCUUCUUGCGCCAAAGAUCUUACCAUUUUCGAAGGAACUGAAGUUACAUUUCUUUUCUAAGUUCCAUUCAAGAGUUCUUAUAUGUUUCCACGACCUUGAAAUUUUGAAAAAUUUCUUUUCCUUUUUUAGGAAUACAUACAAGAUUCGUCACUACAAAUAAGAUAAUGGUAACCCCACGAUUAAUUAUUUCAUUUAUGAAUUUCAUAGUAAUAAAAAUACAUGUUCAUGUUAGCGAAGUUAACAUUUAACACAAAAACACAAAUUCAAAAGUUAAAAAAAUAAACAAUUAAAUAAAAGGCUAAAAUAAUUUUUUUUAUAAAGUUACGGAACUAUAUAAAUCAUUAUGCCUAAAUAAUUAUCCAUUAGAUAUUUUAGAAAUUUAAUUAGACUUUGCAUUUGGAUUGAAUGAGAUUUCAGUCACUUAUAUUUAGAGGUAAUUCUAUCAUACAUCCCUAAAUUAUGAUCCUUAUUCUAAAUUAAUCCUAAAAUUUCUAAAUAUUUUAAUUACAUCCUUAAACUAUUAAGGUUCUAUAAACUAAGUCCUUUUAUUACUAAAAUCGUUAAUAUAUACCCAUUAAAUGACACAUUAUAAGAUCUUAUAUGGCAUUUAAAGUGAUUUAAAAAAAAACGGAUAUUGUAAAAUAUUGUAAAAAUCUUAGUUUUAAAGUUUUUGAAAUUAUAUAUUCUCACACACGAUAUCUUUCUAUACAUAGUGAUGGUAUCAACUCAUAUGGCCAUAUUUGAUUCGGUGGAAUAAAAAUAAAAUAGAAAUUAGCUUUCGGAGAGCUAACUGAGUGGUUGAUAGCUCCGGUUUUGAAAACCGGUAUAGUUCGAACCAAAGAACUACAAAAAAAUAUCUUUCUUUAUUGCUUUUUCCUGGCUUCUUAAUUAAGAAUCUUAAUAUUAAUAAAAAAUAUUUUUGAUAUAAAAUGAGUUGAAACAAAAUGAAAACAAAAUACUUUUUAAAUAUCAUUUGAUUCCUUCAAUAUAUAUAGUGUAAUCAAAUUGAUUCCUACCUUAAGCAUCGAAUCACGAUCAAUUUCUUUUUCAAAUCCCACUGUGGCUGCGCAAGCUCUUCCCGCGUGCCAAUAAGUGACUCACGAGCAAAAGCUUUACCGUUCACUCUCUCAAACACUCCUUUUUUUUCUUUGAGGUUUUACUUUUAAAAUGAUUAUGUGGUAACAUUUUGCUUUCUUUUAAAAUUCUUUUUAAAUUACACCACUUAAUAUUUGACAUUAAAUAUUUUAAUAAUGGAAGAACUAAAUUGAUAUUAAUUUUGAUAAUUUGAGGAUGUAAUUAGAACAUUUUAAUAAUUGGAAACUAAUUUAAAAUAAGAGUUAUAAUUUGGAGAUAUUUAAAAUAUAUAACUCUUUUUUUUUUUCAAUUGCAAAGUAUCACAUGGAAUUCAACUUUUUUGAUGAACGUACAAAUGAAGUGAUGAACAAAAAAAGAAGGAAGAAAAGCAAGUAAAAUGGAUUGAACCCCGAGUAAUAUUUUACAUUUAUUAAUCCACCAUUUUUGAUUCUUCAACACUUCAUGCUUUCGUAUAUUCUUGCUGGCUUACUGCAAAUAGUAGGCAAAGAAAGAAACAAGGGUGGCUCCAACCAAGGACCCAAGAACAGGCAUUGUUGAGAUUGCGACGCUGGAGUCUGGGCCUGGGGCAGCUGCUGAAGCUGAAGCUGAAGCUGAAGCUGCACCUGGAGCUGAAGCCGGAGCUGGAGAUGGAGCGCCAGCAGCCAUGACUUCGCUCAUAGAGGCGGCGACGGCCACAAUGACGGC